GGCCAAAUCUUUAUUUUUAAAAUAGUUUUAGAAACGUUUAACUCUAUUUGUCUAAAUCAUAUAUCUAGCAAGAAUAUGCAUUCUGAACUCUCCUCAUCUUUACUCAUAAAGGCUUGCGUCAUUUUGUUCUCAGAUCUCCCGAGGAAGCUGCAGAGCUGGGGGAGUCUGUUGAAGAGUGGGUGGGGGUUUUGGAAGCGGAUCCCAACAUACAAUGAACGUAGAGUGAGAAUUACAUACUGCACUGGAAAUUCUAGGCCUUUUAUAUAUGGACUUGUUUGCACUGACAGUCUCUGGCACCUUCUAAAAUUUGCUGUGAUUCUACCUCAGGGUUUGGGAUGAAAACAUCUUGAAUUUAAUUUGCAUCUGUGUCCCUCUGAAAUAAUUAAAAAUUCUUUUGUAUUCAACUUAGGUCACUGUGUACCCAGUGGCAUUAUUUAUACACAUGAUAGCAUCCCUUUCUUCGAGGCUUGGUGGAAGACAGACCACAUUGCUUUUUCCAGACACUUCAGGCAUAUGGUCGCUUGUGCUUCACAAGGGGUUUCUAGCACGCAGGGUUUUGCAAUGCCCUUGCUUUUCAAUGUUUGGGAUGGUUUCUUCAGAAUGCAGACCUGAGCAGGAAGGACAGGCAGGCACUUCUGUCAAUGGUAAAGCAGGAGUUUAAGGAAUGGUCUGCUGUAAUGGGGUAAAAACGAUCGUGCUGGCUGUAUUCAAACAGCUGCCUGAGACUGAGACUGGCUCUCCAUGCUCAUCUCCGACUUCCAAGACUGAGGGACAAACACUGCCUUCUGUGGUGCUCUCAGCAAGCCUUGGAAACACAUCUUCAUUCCGGUUUUCAAAGAACAGAGGCUAAUAAACACAUCAGGCUGUAUUUAAGACAGAGAAAUACUCUGUAGCUCAGGCUGGACUGGAAAUCAUGAUAAUCCUCCUGCUUCAGCUUCCCAACUGUGAAGAUUACCGGAGUGAGCUACCAGGCAAGAAUUCUUCUCAUCUAUCUCUAUUGAUAUUUUCUCUUUAUGUUGCUCUGGCUAUCCUAGAACUUGCUAUGGAGAUCAGGCUGGCUUCUAACUCACAGAGAUUCGCCUGCCUCUGCCUCUAGAUUAUUGGAUUAAAGGCAUGUAUGCAGUACCAUGCCAUGCCUAGCUAGCCUUUAUAUUUCUACUGUUUCUUUUCUCCCCCACCCCAAGCCUGCUUUUAACUUCCUCUUCUCUCCCCAUGCUUGUACAUGGUGCACACCAUCAUGCUCAGUAGUAAUUUGUAUUUUCUUUUUCCUUAAUUUUUUUUUUGUGUAUAUAUGUGUGCCCAAAUGUAUAUAUGUAUGUACAGGUACCUAAGAAGGCCAGAAAAGGGCACUGGAUCCCAUGGAGAUAGUUACAGGCAGUUAUGUCCUAUCCAAUACAGGUGCUGGAAACAAAACAGGGUCUAUUGAAAAAGUGGCAAGUGCUCUUAAUUGCUGAGCCAUCUCUCCAGCCCUGUAAUUUAUAUUUUCUCUCUAGUUUUUUUUUUUUUUUUUUGGCUAGUAUUUCCCUCAUCCAAAAACCACAUAGUAAUUCCUUCUAUUAAUGAAAGAAUAGGUUGAGCUGGAGAGAUGGCUCAGUGGUUAAGAGCACUGACUGCUCUUCCAAAGGUCCUGAGUUCAAAUCCCAGCAACCACAUGGUGGCUCACAACCACCUUAAUGAGACCUGAUGCCCUCUCCUGGGGUGUGUGAAGACAGCUACAGUGUAAUUACCUAUAAUAAAUAAAUAAAUUAAAAAAAGAAUAGGUUUAUGUAUCUAAGAAGUAGGGUAAUUAAAAUGUGUCAGGAAUUCCUGACCGCCUUUUGUUUUACCCUGUAUUAUCUAACAAACUGGAUUUUUACUUUAAUAUUCCACUGAAAUGCUCUGAUAGUGCUAACUUCCUAAUAAAAUAUCCAUUUCUCAUCAGCAGUCUAGCUAUGCUGCAUCCCAGCAUCUAUGACAGAAACAUGGAAGAGUUUCUGCAGAUUACCACAGACACAAGAAGGGAAGCUAUCAUCAACUGCAGAGGGAGGUAACUUUAAAGUCAGAACUGCGCCACCACAGCUGCGUCACCACAGUGGGGUUCUAAGCUAGUAAUCCUUUCUCAGAUCACGGAAUGAAUACUGGUGGGCCAGACUUUGUUUUUUGUUUUUUUUUCCAGACAGGGUUUCUCUGUGUAGCCCUGGCUGUCCUGGAACUCACUCUGUAGACCAGGCUGGACUCGAACUCAGAGAUCCGCCUGCCUCUGCCUCCCGAGUGCUGGGAUUAAAGGCGUGGGCCACCACGCCCGGCUUGGUUCAGACUUCUAUAACCUUUUAAGAAAAUUACUUUCAUAAUGACCAGCGUAAAACAGAAUCAGAGACAUGAACUAGAUUACAUUUUAUAAUAAUAGUAAUAAAAAAUAGCCAUGCAAGGUAGCCCAUCCCUUUAAGCCCAGACAGAAUUCUGUGACUUCAAGGACAGCCGGGUUUACAUGAAGUGAGUUACAGGCUAGCCAGGGCUAGCCAGGGCUACCGAGUAAGACCCUCAUUCAACAGAAGCAGCAGCAGCAGCACCAGCAACAAAAGAUGCCCAAAAACACCCCAAAACAAAAACAAAAACAAACAAGCAACUCAAACAGAAAAAUAAGAAAAGGUUGAGUCUUCCUCCUGUGGUCUAGGCUGACAUAGCUCAUUCUAACUACUUUCCAUAGAGUGAAGAACAAGAAACAACAUUCCGACUUCAGAGCUUAAUUACUAACUGGUUCAAAUGCUCUCUCUUGCCACAGGCAAGCCUGACUCUGAGGUCAAACAUCAAGUUAACUGUUGUUAGGAGACAGCGAAGAAGAGCAUGGAACAUUCUGUAACUGGUGAAAAGUCCCUGUUCCAGCCAAGCCCAUCCCCCAGCCCUCGAGUUCAAUGACUGAGUUAUGGAAACUUCUCCUGUGUGGUAAAACUGGGGACUUUGUCUUCCAAUCAGACCCUGGCAAGCUGACAACAAGCCAAUGUUCUGCAUAUGGCUUAUUGCAAGUCACAGGCUUAAUGUUAUUUUCUGGGAAUUCUUAGCCUCUAUUUGGUGAGAAUUCCGGAACAUGUCAUUUUAUAAUUACAAUUUUUAUCAUUUGGUUCUGUACUUUAAGAAAUAUUCACAGGUCUCACGUAUUUCUUACAAUGUAAGUCUACAAUGAAUUAAAAAUCAGGUUUAUGUCAUCACAGUAAUAGGGAACAAGACGUUAACACUGCCUUUCAAGCUCUCAGGUUUGCUGGUGCUUUGGCUCUGACUUUCCCUCUGACGUACUCAGAGAGUACAAACCAAUGCACAAGCAACAUCUUUAAAAACAACAGAAUUCUGUCCCUGCCCACCUGCUAAGAAACACACCAUAAAUUAGAAAGCUAUUUUCUAUAUUCUAAUCUUUCAGAAUUUGUAAGUGGUCCACUAUAUCUGAUUAUUUAUAGAGUAUAACUUAGAUCUAUCUACUGAUUUAGAUAAUAAGGACAUUUUCCCUUAAACCUAUUGACAUUAGCAACUACUUUCUAGAAUUGCCCUAGAAAUAAAGCUGUUAAUUAUGAUUGGGGAAUAGGCAUUAUUGAACUUAGGGUGUCAUGUUUAGCUAGGCUGUUCCAUACUUAUAUUAAGAAUAGCAGUCCACUGGGGCUGGAGAGGCGGCUCAGUGGUUAAGAGUACUGGCUGUUCUUCCAGAGAAUCUGAGCUGAGCUUCUCGCACACAGGCAAAUGACCAUCUGUAACUCCAGCUCCAAGGACUCUGACACCUUCCAGUCUCCACUGUCACUUAAACACAUGUGGUAUUUACUCACAAAGAUAUACACACAUACACGUAAGUAAAAAUAUCAAGGUCAGCCUGGUGUAUAUUGUGAAUUCUAGGCAGCCACAAUGCAUAGUUGAGAGAAAGUUACAAAAGAAAAGAAAAGAAAAGAAAAGAAAGGAAGGAAGGAAGGAAGGAAGGAAAGAGUUUAAGAUCAUUCUGAGUUGAACCAGACAAACCUGAGCUACAUGAACCCAUGCAUUCAGGAUUUAGGGUUAUAUUUAUUAUUUUUGUUACAGUGCUAAAUAUCCCCUGUAAACACUCUACCACAGAGCUACAGCUACAGCCAUAUUGGUAAUUUUCAUUUUGAACACUUAUAUUUUAAAACAUCUAGGCAGGCCUCGUUAAUCCUAGCAUUUGGGAGACAAAGGCAGGUGGAUCUCUGUGAGUUUGAGGUCAGCCUGGUCUACAGAGCUAGUUCAAGGAAAGUCAAGGCUACACAAAGAAACCCUGUCUCAAAAAAAUAAGAAGUAAAUAAAUUAAAAAAAAAAACAAAACAACCCAAAGCCAGAGAACAUUUCCUAUUUGAGCUAGGCAUGGAGGUACUUGCUUUUAAUAUUAGCAGGUGUAGAGGUAUGCUGAUCUCGGUGAGCUUGAAGACAGCCAGAGUUAUGAAUAGAGAUGCUGUCUCAAAAGACAAAACAAAGCAACAAUGUCUUGUUUCAAAGUGUAGGAAAACAAAUUUUGUCAUGAUUGGUGAGAGACUGUGAUUAUAAUUUAAUUACUGACAAAAUACUAAAAACUCUUUUGGUAUCUGAUGUUGAAGCCAAAUCUAAUUAACUUAUAUUAUUUAAAGAUUUGUUUAUUUAACCACUCAGCUAUAACACACACACACGUAAUUUAGACAAAGUUUCUCUGUGUAGCCCUGGUUGUCCUAGAACUAACUCUGUAGACCAGGCUAUCCUUGAACUCAGAAAUUUGGUGACUACCUCCCGGGUGCUAGGAUCAAAGGCAGGAUUACAGGCAUGUGCGGGCUUAUAUAUACUAAUGAAUAAUGUGCACGCAUAUGUGUCAGCAUGUACGUAUGUGCACUCAGACAGGUGCCCUCAGAGGUCAAAGGCCUGGAGUGAGUCCCUUGGAGCUGGAGUUGCAGGUGGUUACAAGUCAUCAAUGUGCGUGUUUAAGCCAGAGCUAUUUCUCCAGUCCCUCACUAGGAUUCUUUUGGGGACCAUGCUAAUGCAGUUUAAAA
This is a long non-coding RNA of Mus musculus (house mouse), 4985 nucleotides long. RefSeq annotates it as predicted gene, 46289. The record is from RefSeq and is a predicted model, not a curated record. Lineage: Eukaryota; Metazoa; Chordata; Mammalia; Rodentia; Muridae. The transcript is spliced from 2 exons.